RNAcentral lists this ribosomal RNA (301 nucleotides) under uncultured bacterium. RNAcentral describes it as "partial 16S ribosomal RNA". It matches the Rfam family "Bacterial small subunit ribosomal RNA", at positions 509 to 807 of the family's 1533-position model. The record is from RNAcentral.
CAGUAGCCGCGGGAAUACGUAGGUGGCAAGCGUUGUCCGGAAUUAUUAGGCGUAAAGGGCUCGCAGGCGGUUUCUUAAGUCUGAUGUGAAAGCCCCCGGCUCAACCGGGGAGGGUCAUCGGAAACUGGGAAACUUGAGUGCAGAAGAGGAGAGUGGAAUUCCACGUGUAGCGGUGAAAUGCGUAGAGAUGUGGAGGAACACCAGUGGCGAAGGCGACUCUCUGGUCUGUAACUGACGCUGAAGAGCGAAAGCGUGGGGAGCGAACAGGAUUAGAUACCCCGGUAGUCCCUGUCUCUUAUAC